UGGGAUGAUAAUGUGUAUGAUGCUGAUGUC
This 30-nucleotide non-coding RNA is filed under the name Xenopus tropicalis (tropical clawed frog). Lineage: Eukaryota; Metazoa; Chordata; Amphibia; Anura; Pipidae. RNAcentral also lists the same sequence under 1 other name. The record is from RNAcentral.